RNAcentral lists this ribosomal RNA (451 nucleotides) under uncultured Fibrobacter sp. RNAcentral describes it as "partial 16S ribosomal RNA". It matches the Rfam family "Bacterial small subunit ribosomal RNA", at positions 341 to 792 of the family's 1533-position model. Lineage: Bacteria; Pseudomonadati; Fibrobacterota; Fibrobacteria; Fibrobacterales; Fibrobacteraceae. The record is from RNAcentral.
ACGGAAGGCAGCAGUAGGGAAUAUUGCACAAUGGGGGAAACCCUGAUGCAGCGACGCCACGUAUGGGAAGAAGCAUUUCGGUGUGUAAACCACUGUCGUGAGGGAAUAAGGCAUUGUUUCGGCGAUGCUGAAUGUACCUCGAAAGGAAGCACCGGCAAACUUCGUGCCAGCAGCCGCGGUAAUACGAGGGGUGCAAGCGUUGUUCGGAAUCACUGGGCGUAAAGGGAGCGCAGGCGGAGAUGCAAGCGGACUGUACAAUCCCGGGGCCCAACCCCGGACCUGCAGUCCGGACUGCACCUCUUGGAUAGUUCAGGGGCAAGCGGAAUUCCUGGUGUAGCGGUGGAAUGCGUAGAGAUCAGGAAGAACACCGAUGGCGAAGGCAGCUUGCUGGGGACUUAUCGACGCUCAUGCUCGAAAGUGCGGGUAGCAAACAGGAUUAGAUACCCUGGUA